UAUCUCUCCGUACGGGGAAGGAUGAGAAGCUUCGACUAAGGUUCGAUUCGAGCGCAGCGAGAAAGCGUUGCCGUA
Molecule: small RNA, 75 nt
Filed under: Salmonella enterica
Lineage: Bacteria; Pseudomonadati; Pseudomonadota; Gammaproteobacteria; Enterobacterales; Enterobacteriaceae
Also listed under: 2 other names
Description: partial RtT sRNA
Rfam family: RtT RNA
About the family: This family represents a bacterial cis-regulatory element known as RtT RNA. The exact function of RtT is unknown although it is thought that it may be involved in changing the cellular response in relation to amino acid starvation.
Source: RNAcentral